AUCCGGGGGACAUUUUCUGUCCAGUCCAUCCUGUGUGUGCAUGCUGUUACGCGCAGGACUCGACGUGUUUGCGUUUAACAUACCUGUGAAAAAGCUUGUUGGCUGCAUGUUUUUGAGGCAGUAUUUUGAUACAUGAUUUGGGUUUACAUGGAAUUUAAUCCCAAUUUGAUAAAGUAUGAAGGUGCAAAUUGUAGCAGCGUUACUAGGCCGCACUCGUCGUGGAAAUGUGGAGUAUGAUGUGCUGUCCACAGAGCAGGGGAUAAACUCGGGUCGGUUGCAGUGUUUCUUGAUGAUUGCACAUCCACACGUGGGCAGAAGGCCGGCUAAGGCCUCCAUGACUUUAUGAUGGAAUGCAGAAAAUGGGCUGUGUGGAUGUAUCCUUGGAAUAUCCGUAUACUAUACAAUCUGACUGCAAUGCUCAAGAAAUGGACAUGACACAGUGAAUUACAAGGUGAGUGGUGGUAAUGGCACAAUGGAAAAGACGCAUGCCUUUGGUGUCAGAGACCCUGGGUUCAGUUCAUAAAGUUCUCAUAAAUUAACAUGCAAUCACAUCCAUUCCUGUAUAUUGUUUGAAACCAGAAAGAUUUACAAAUGUAUGGAUUCUUUUUAACUGUAUUAUGUAACAAAUCUCCUGUGUGAAUAAAACAUUUGUUAACACAGUA
Long non-coding RNA from Micropterus salmoides (largemouth bass), 662 nucleotides. RefSeq lists it as uncharacterized. The transcript has 4 exons. NCBI's taxonomy places the organism in Eukaryota, Metazoa, Chordata, Actinopteri, Centrarchiformes, Centrarchidae. The record is from RefSeq and is a predicted model, not a curated record.